UAAAUUAUUGUACUAAAAAAUCACACAAAGUUCAAUUCCCAGGGAAGAGAGGUGGAUCACAAGGAUCUCUUAAAUACCAAGUCUUUCCUUAGUCAGAAUAUUCCUUCUAACGUAAUUUAAUAGCACAAUUAAAUACUACUACUAUACCCUCAAAUAUUGAAAGAAAAAUAGGACAAAAAGAACAUAAGAUUUUUAACGAGGUUUGGUAAAUUAUACCUACGUCCUCGGGCACUAACACCAGAUGAUAACUUUACUAUCUCCAAAAUAUUACAAACAAAUAGAAUUCCUUAAGAAUUCUCAAAUGGGAGAAGAGAGAAAACUAAGAGAGAAAGAUUG
Molecule: long non-coding RNA, 336 nt
Filed under: Gossypium barbadense (sea-island cotton)
Lineage: Eukaryota; Viridiplantae; Streptophyta; Magnoliopsida; Malvales; Malvaceae
Description: long non-coding RNA (GBAR_LNC004266)
Source: RNAcentral